RNAcentral lists this transfer RNA (72 nucleotides) under Caulobacter phage CcrColossus. It matches the Rfam family "tRNA". From Rfam's summary of the family: Transfer RNA (tRNA) molecules are approximately 80 nucleotides in length. Their secondary structure includes four short double-helical elements and three loops (D, anti-codon, and T loops). Further hydrogen bonds mediate the characteristic L-shaped molecular structure. tRNAs have two regions of fundamental functional importance: the anti-codon, which is responsible for specific mRNA codon recognition, and the 3' end, to which the tRNAs corresponding amino acid is attached (by aminoacyl-tRNA synthetases). tRNAs cope with the degeneracy of the genetic code in two manners: having more than one tRNA (with a specific anti-codon) for a particular amino acid; and 'wobble' base-pairing, i.e. permitting non-standard base-pairing at the 3rd anti-codon position. Lineage: Duplodnaviria; Heunggongvirae; Uroviricota; Caudoviricetes; Jeanschmidtviridae. The record is from Rfam by way of RNAcentral.
GGGGAUGUAGCUCAGGGGUAGAGCGGCUGUUUUGCAAGCAGCGGGUCGGGGGUUCGAAUCCCUCCAUCUCCA